UUUUUUUUUUUUUUUUGAACUCAGGCUUGGCUUGCUUCUUUUACAAGCCGAGUUCGAGCAAGCUUAAUAAUUUCAAGCCUAAUCAUGUUCUCAAAUUGUUUUGAACUAUUUCUUAUAGUAAGUUAGCUCGGUUGUAUAAUUUUUUUUUUCUUUUUUUAUGGCUGGAACCCAGUAAGAGGCUAGACCAACACGUUUGUAGAGUCUUGCAAAAAAAUAUCCCUUUUAGUUUAUUUUUUAUUUUGUUAAUAUAUUAUUUGGACCUGAGCAUCCCAUUAUGUAUCAGACAGAGUUGAGUGAAUAUAUUGUUUCUAUGAAUAUUAUUGGGCGUUGAGCUUGGACGACCGAGCAGAGCUUAAGCCUACCUCAAGUUGUUUUGUAAAAGAAUUUUAGUUGCUUAUGAGUGUAACAUACUAAUGUUCAAGCUUGACUUCUUUUUUAAACAAGCCAACCUAUGCUUGGGUUAGUUCUUUAACUAUUCGAGCUCUAUUGAUAAAAGGAAUACACUCACUUAUGGGCUUUCAUAUCGGGCCUAGUUGCAACUCAAUUACUUAGAUCAGGUAGCCCAAUCCCAAUGGCCGAAAGCCACUGAAUGCUAGUAAAAUCCUCGUAUUUACUAUUUACCCCAAUGAUUUGACUUCUUGUUUUUUUUAACUGUUAAGAGCUUUUUAAUGCGACCUAAAAAUUGUUGUAAAGAAAAAUAUCUACCACCUCAAAAUAAUAUGAUAAAUCUUUGACGCCACUGUGACUAUUGACUUGUGAUGGGAUCAUGGAAGCUUUACCCCUGCUGUGUUGCUAUAGAGGACAGUUUUGUAAACUUGACCUGAAAAAAAAACAAACAAAAAAAAAAACAGUUCUGCAAGGGGAUGAAAAUGGAUGUGCAAUCGGCUUUCUGGAUAUUGAAUUUAAUAAAUUAAACAAGAUUAAAAAUUAAAAAUUAAUAAUAGUUGUACAGGAAGUAAAAUGAAUGUGUGAAUAGCACCACUUAAGUAAAAAAUGAAACGAAAAUCAAGAUUGAGAUUUUAGAUUGAUUAAAAACAACAUAGCACUGACCAACAUUCUUUUUCUUUUUUCAAAUGGAGAAUGAAUCUAUUGACUUAUCCAAGACAAGUAGCAAUAAAAAUAAUAGAGUGGUCUAUAAGGACACCUACAAGAUCAUCCCUUAGAUGUUGCAUAAGGUAUCGUUUGGUACGUGAGAUGGGAUGGGACGCGCUCAUCCUACGUUUGGUGUACUAAAAAGAGUGAGACGCAUUGUCCCGUGGAACAGAUUUUAGCUAAAUUUUGGUUCCACCCUCACCAUCUGGAACAGACUUAUUCCAGCUCAUGGAACGCAAAAUUAUAAAAUUUUGGACAACAAUACCCCUUAACUUUUUCAUUGAUUCCACUGUCUACCCUCUCUCUCCCGUAGCCUCCCUAUCUUCUUCUCAUCUUCCUCCACCACAAAUCUAGCAACCCAACCAUGGCUUAUCCACCAUAUUCCCCGCAGGAUGAUUUCAUCUUCUCUUUCCAAUCGGCCCCAACGUUAACCCAAUCCCAACCAACCCACCUGAACCCAAUCCCACCUUCUUCCCGCCGCCUCCCUUCUUCUUGCUGGUCCGUCAAUGAAACCGUCACCUUCUGCCGCACCAACCUCAAGGCCACCCACUUGGCAGGACGUAGCCGAAGCCGUUGCUCGACGAUACCACGCUGCUUUUUAGGCGUCAUCACAAAUCAGAGCUUCUACCAUUUUUUCUCCCGUAGCUUCUCUUUUAUACCCUUUCUCUCUCGUAGCCUCCAUCACUACCAAAUCCUUUAUUGCCUAUCUUCCCUUUACUUAAUCUCCAAAUCAUCUACCUUCUCGACUUCUUAUUCGCGGCUUAGGACACUUCAACGUUGUCGCUGUUGUGGGCAGUGAUGCUACUCGACUCGCACCCGGAGGUCCUGGGGAAGGUUCAGUGGCGUACUAGGUGAUGAGAUACAGAGCUCCGGCGACAAUGGUCAUGCAUGUUGCCUAACCUUCCUUCCCACAAAUGGCUACAGAAAAUCUAUGGGGUUGAGUUGAUGGAGUCAACGAAGAAUGUCACACCUCGAUCCCGACAUAUGUCCAGGAUCGACACGUAACGUUUUCAAGUAUUCGUAUGUCUAAUAUACCCAUCCUUCGGGAUAUGGCAAAGCACACUCGAGCAUCAAUUCACAUAGUAAUUUUUUGUACACUUUAUGGCUGCAUCUAACCUCGUUGUUAGACUACCUACGAACCCUAAAUAGAGAUCAAGCCAUUCGUAGUUCGUCAUUAGUCAAACUCUAAUAUUUUCAUAAAAUACUUCAACCGGAAAACAUAGGGUACUACACUACACAUCAACCAUAAGCCAAACACAAUUAUCAUCUUGUCAUGCACAUAAGUGUGAUAUUCCCACACAUAUGAUUUCCAAUUCAUCCUUCAUAUAAAUCACUAUGUUUCAUAUAAUACUGCAAUUCAUAGUAUGCAACAUCUCAAAGAACAGUCAAUGAAGCACAAUGUUAUCCUCUAGUCAUAAUGGUCAACGAGUCUAAUCAUAAUGACAACAAUCAUAACCAACAUUAUUCCACAAUCACAUCAAUCAAUAACACAUAUCAUAUACCAAAAUGUAUGGCUAGAAUGACACAAUUCGACCGAAACCUACAUCUUUGAAGCUUGAUAUCAACUCCAAGGAACCAACAAGUCAAGUGAUGCGAUUUCGGACCACUCAACGAAAUCCAUCAACAUCGGGUUCUGAACCACUCAACGAAACCAAGACACCAAAAAAGAUUUUGGACCUCUCUACCAAAUCAAAACACCAAAGGGGAUUUCAGACCUCUUUAUGGAAUCCAAACUAGGAUACAAUUCCGAACCAUCACUCAACGUAAUCGUAGAGUAGAAGGGAUUCCUGACCUCUCAAUGGAAUUUGAGUGGAUACGAUUCUGAACCAUCACUCAACGGAAUCACACAGUAGAAGGGAUUACGGACCAUCACUCAAUGGAAUCCAAGUAGAUACGAUUUUGGACCAUCACUCAACGGAAUCGCGGAGUAGAAUGCAUAACAACGGCUCGAAGAAACAAGACAUGGAUAAUGUUACUCCAUUCAUGAAGGCUCAACAAAAUGAAACAAUAUCGAAGCAACAAUCCCCAUCACAAUGGAUUAACUAUCCACUACUAGCCCUCACAUUUUACAAGCAAUUCAAUAUGUAUUUCAUUGCAACAUGCCUAUCAUACAAAUCAAACCAUAUUUCAAAUAUAUAUGUCAAAUCUCAUUUCAUAAACAUAAAUCGAUGACUAAGUAUUAAAAAUAACAAUUCAAUGGAAAACAUAUUUAUAAAACCAAGUCAUAUCCACACAGGAUAACAAUUACGAAAACAAGGUAAUUACCAAUAUCACAUAUAUUAAAGUCACUCUCAUUCCAUCACAUCAGGCCAAACAUACAAAUCAACCACACUCUACAACAAGUUCAAUACACAAGUCAAAUCACAUAAAAUAAACAAGCAUAUCACAAUGUAAUGCCAUCAAUAUGUAAAUCGAGGUGCACAUCAAUCGAAGAAGACACAUCAUCAUACUGAGCCCAAUAAGCUUCAUGGAGUCUCAACAACAUGCUAAAAUCAACAACACACUAGAAAAACUCGGACUAGUUGAUUAAAAGCUAACCAUCGAUUAAGGUCGAGAGUAGGGUCUACAACCCUAGAAAUCUAAACCAGAAGAUCUGCUUAUCAGAUUUCUAAUCUGUAACUUCCUAAAGUCCACAUUAUGCUUCUAGAACAACAUACUAAAAUUUCAUUAUGAUCCAACAAUUGGAUCUCCGCCAAUCGCUAAGAUUAAGUGGCGGUCAAUGUUUAGUUUUCCAAACUUAGAAAUCCAAUUCGGGAAGAUCCGUAUGUCGGAUUUCCAAUCCGUAAGUUCCUAUUGUCCUCAAAUAUUUUGUACUAUUACUUAUUGUUUGGUGUUGAUCCAACGAUCUGAUCGUUAAUUCAUAUAAUAAUCAAGUGACAGCCAAUUAGGCGGUCAAUUACGAAACUAUGUUAAAACAUCGGAAUUUCACUAAACGGAUGUCAAAUAUGGAAUUGGGGCAUCAAAAUUAGCCUAGGAUGGUCAGGUAGGGCCUCUGAUGGCUUCCCCAACUCACCAGAAAAUUCAACUAUUUCCAAAAAUUACCAAAUUUCACAGAAAUGAAGAUCUCAAUGAGUAGAGCAAGUUUUAUACCUGUGAACAAGACCAAUUUGGCUGGGAAAAGCCCUAAUUUCAUCCAAACUUGCAGGAAGCCCUAGAAUGGGUGGCUUCGAUCCAUCACCUCUGGUGCUCCACCGCCCCUACAGUUGUUUGGGCUUUGUUCCAGGCCUCAAGAUGAGUGUUUUGGUGGUGGUGAUGGUCGACGUAGCUUUCACGGUCGGUGGAUUUCUGUUGUGGCACCCCAGAUUCGACGGGUUCCGUUCUUCGCUAAUUCAAGGCUAAAUUGUAUGAAUUUUGGGGUGGAAUUGGUAGAGGAAAGGCUAAGGAGUUGUUUCCAAGUGAUGGAAGGCAACGAUUCGCCGUGAAACGCCGCGAAUGGUGUCGGGUUGGGUCGAGAAGAACACCCGUUCCCUUUUUUUUUUUUUUUCUUUUUCCUUUUCUCAUUUUCCCUCAUUUUCCCCUCAUUUUCUGAUUGGGCACUCCCCCACCUUUUUUCGUCUGCAACUCUCUCUUUUCCCCUCUCUCCUACUGCCAACUGCCAGCUUCUAAUUGUUUUUUUGUUUUUUGUUUUUUUUUUACUAAAACGUCUCUAAUUUCUUCGUUUCAACUCCGAUUUAUGAACGAUUUUCGCCUACGUGUUUAUAGGGUCGAGCUUUAUCCAAUUGUGUGACCCCGCAAGUCCACGAAUAUUUAAUGAUUACUGACCAAAAUUCAAACUUCGUAAUUAGUUUAAUUAAAAUCUAAAUUUGAUAUAUAUUCCCAAAAAUAAUAUAAAAUCUCCUUAAUACAAAUACGUAGUUUGCAAUAGUGAAAUCUCGUUCCUAGAUUUCAUAGAGAACCAUGAGUACGUUUGUCAUUUAAUCCUUUGUUACAUUCCGUUCUGCACGUACCAAACGCGAAACAAAACAACUGUCCCAUUUCAUCCUGUGCAUACCAAACAUAGCACGAAAGCUCUAUUCCGUUCUGUCCCGUUCCAUCCCGUCUUUGUACCAAACGCUACCUAAGCUAUUGGGGAGGAAGCUGAAAAGAAUGCAAACCAAAGUCCAAAUUGUAGCUCCAUUUGGCUAGCUAAUCUGCAACAUUGUUCAAUUCCCUGAAAAUAUGUUUUAGCUCACAAUGAGCAAUUCUUCUCAUUAAAUCCCUACAACUCUUCAAAAGGGCAGCAAGGGGGUGAAAAGUAUCUUGCACAAAUUAGUUCAACAAUAAUACAGCAGAGAAAGAGUUCAUCUCUAUGAUUAACUUAGAUAUGCCUUUUUCAAUAGCAAGCUGAAGUCCAAAAUACAAUCCCCAAACUUCAGCUUCUAUAAUUUGCCCUUGCCUUAGAUUAAUAGAGAAACCUCCCAUACAAUCACCAUUGUGGUCACAAAGAAUUCCUCCAACAUCGACCUCGCUCGAAACCAUUUUUCUAGAACCAUCUACAUUCAACUUAGUGUUAUCCAAUAAAUGCGUUUAAAACAUAACAUUACAUAUCUCGCUCAAUUAUUUGACAAUGUUUUAAUUUUGAUAAACUUUCAAACAUGACACGACAAGCUGUGAAUGAGAUCAAAUAUAUAUUCAACAAUGUUAAACUAAAGGGUUCGGAUUAAAAUUUCAUCCGAACGAACACGUUAGUACACGACACGUUGCACGAUCUACGGUGGACCAUCCCCCACUUAUACAUGGGUCAAGGGGUCAACGAACGUAAUAAAAUAACCAAAAUACGCACUGUUUUGUUAUCCCAUCAUUUUCUAUUUCUUUUCUGCAGACCCAAAAGAUAAACAGGCAAAGGAUAGAAUGUACGGCUUAUCUCCACUGCCUGGGCCAUCAUUUUAUCAUCCGAAUACUUUGUUGUUUUAUUUAUUUAUUUUAGCAUUCGGUAGGUGGUCAAUAUCUUAAUCCAACGGUCCAGAGUACAUAAGCCAAAACGGGGAGUGGUACCAUUCGUAAUUCCUCUCAAACUCACGGGCAACUGUAAGACAUCAACAGUCGUAAUUUCCCGUUAUACCCUCAUCCGUACGGUUCCGCUUCCCCGCUUCUAUAAAUCGCCUACCCCAGCCAUACCCACACCCCACGCCUUUUGCCUUUCCGUCUGCUGCUCUCUGCCCUCGUCGUCCUCCUCUCUCUCUCUCUCCCCCCCCUAGGGUUAGGGUUUCUCUGUCCUUUCUCAACAUUUGCUUUCACUCUUUGUGCUUCAAUGGAGGAGCAAAAGGUACAGAAAGGCGUGGCCGCCGAGAAGGUCGCACCCGUGUCCCCCAUCUCUGUCACGGAGUGCUACCCUCGUCUCUCGAUCAAGGCACCCAAGGGCGAAGACGCCAUCAAGUUCUACGAGACCGUCUUCGGCGCCGUGGAGCUUGAGCGUGAGAGUGAUCUCAAGCGCAAGGCUGACCAGGAGCGUCCCUUCAUCUACAAUGCUAAGCUCAAGCUUGGGUCCUUCACCUUCCUUGUGACUGAGUCUGACUCGAUUGUUGACUCCGGUGACGCCGCGUACGUAUCGUUCUCUCUCGCUCUGCUUUUUUUUCCUCCUUUACUUUAAAGUAAUUGUUAUUACUGUUAGAUCUGGAAUCCACUGUUUGCUUUGUUGUGUGUGUAGUUUUCGAUUUACUACAAUAUUUUUUUUCUAUUUUUAGUUGAAUUUUUAAUCAUAUUCUUUACUGUUUACUCUUCAUUUUUAGCUAUUUAUAUAAAAUUCUUUUACAUUUCUAUGAAGAUGUGGUCUAUAUGCGUGGAUCUAUUUCUUGCACUUGAUUUUUUUGUAGACGUGAUAAAUUUUCUUGGUUUACCAGAGCUCUGGCUGACGGUGGUUUUAAGCAUCUGUUGCUUACUGUUGGGGACGUCGAUGCGGCUGUGUCCAAGGCGGUCCAGGCGGGAGCUGCGGCGGUUGGGGAGAUCAAAGCUGGUGGUGCUUUCUUUGGCGACGAGCAGCGUUGGGCUCAGAUUAAGGAUCCUUUCGGCAUUAACUGGUUCUUCGUCACCCCCCUUGAGAAGAAGGCGUCUGUGGCCGAAGCCCCGGUUACCGUCUGAUUCCAUCUCGCCCCACCACCACAUAUCAUGACGAUGUUUUGGUUUAGAUUUUAAUCAAAUAUUUAGACCCUUUAUGGACCGUCUGAUUCGAAGACUUUAAUUGGUUUAGGAUUAGGCUAAUCGUAGCUUUAGCCUUAAUAUUUUGAUGAAGGAAAUGUUUGACUUUAUUUGACCGUUGUUAUGUGGUUGGAUUUUUAGUAUUAAAUGAGUUCAUGGUUGUUCUAUGAUCCGUCGUUUUCUAUUAAUUUUUUAUGUUCGUUGUUUUUCUUGUCUUUUUAGCUGUUUGCGUAGUUAUUGCACGGUGAAAAUUACCUUCUUAGACAUUGUUACUUGAGGAGAGAGGUUGGCAAUGGUGGGGUAGUAUUGACAUUCGAACAGUCUGGAUAAGGAUUGAUCAAGGAGAGAGAUUGUGUUGCAUUCGGAUAGGGGCCGGUACGGUUUCAGAGAAAGGAGUAGGUAGACUUUUAGGUUCUGUGUGGUCGAAAGGAAACAAACGUGGUGCUUGUCACGUGUCAAUAAUCUGGAAGUAGGCGUGUUUACUUUGAAAACGUGGUUAGGCUUCGGGAGGUGCAUGUCAAGGGUGGUCUAGAAUCCAAUCGAUGGUCGGAUUCUUUCGUGAGUCGAGACUUGGUUUGCUUUAUUUAGCUAAAAACUGCUUCAUUUGAAACAAUGUAAGCGUUUGAUAAAAAUAAAAUAUCUUACUUAUUUUAAAAGAAAUGAGUGGAAACCCUCCAUAUCAAUCCAUCUCUAUAGGAUACAGGAUACUUUAAUGAAAAGAGAAACCAAGUCUCUAAGUGAUAUUAUUAAUUUUAUAAUACCCUCAUUAGUUUUAAAAAUCAAAGUUGUUUAAUCUUUCUAUAUUCAUCUUUUCCCUUGGAGAACAAGGUGACACACACCACCUAUUACUACAAAACACUAACCUUAAAGCACCACUACCAUUACCACUACCACUACUAUAACCACCACCACAGCCAUCACCACCAUAACUUCCUACCACCAUUGUUAACCCUACAAGCUAACCACCGCACCCCGCAUUGUCACCACCACCAUACCCCGACCCUUGUCAAUGCCAUCACCAGUGCUACCAUCGUCACCACCACCACUAUUGCCCUUGUCACCACACCUACUAUCAUCUCCAUAUUUAUCAUUAUAUACACUGCAAUCUGAAACUGGCAUUCAAAGAGUUUGUGAAAAUUAAAUUUAGCAGUUAAAUACUCAAAACAUAGAAGUUAUACCUCUUUCCUUGGGGUUUGUUCUUUCUUUUUAUUUUUAAGGUAUGCAUCAUUACUUGUUGGGAUUUUUUUUAUUUUUUAUUUUAUUUUGAAUACAACGAUAUAUUUUACACUAAGGAGAAUGGGAGUUCACUAUCUACGAGAUUCGAACCUAUGACCUCUCACUUAAAUAUGAAAAGAAAUAUCAUCAUAUCAUAGUACUGAGUGACUGAGACUAUUUAUUUUUCAGUCUCUCUUUAAAGAUUAUCUAAUAUAAGCUACAUCGUUAGUCAAUUUAUUCAUCUAACUUGGUCUACAAAAUACUUAAUAAAUAACAAAUAAUCCGAUGACCAAAAAUACACCAAUUGGGCCUAAAACAAUCAAAUAUUAUUUGUCAAAUGACCCAAAGAAAAUGAACCGACGACGACAUUGCUAAAAAAGCCUGCCAUAACAAAGAAGAGGUCCUUCGAAUAGGAAUAUGGGAACGGAACGAUGGGUAGCAGAUGAAUAAAUGAGCAUGGAUCCAAUUUUACAUUAGCAUCCCCCAAACGAAUGUUUUUUUUUUUUUUUAGUACAUUGAAUAUAUUUUUACACUAAAUAAAGGGAGAGUUCGGCUAAGCUACAAUGAGCAACCUAAUUUGGUAUCAAAUUCACCAUCUACAAAACCUAAGACCCUUACUUUCAAGUGAAGAGAAAUAUCACCAGAUUAUAGUACUGAAUGACACAUAUUUUUGAACCUUGUAAUUGUCACAAUUCCUUCAUAUACUUACAAUUGCAUUUCUACUUCCUUGAUCACUCUUAAAUCAUCUUGUAUUUCUUCCACCCUCCUUUCUUUUCUAAUCUCUCUCUCCACACACACACACAUACACACACACCCACACUUACUAUGUGAGCUCCAAAGAGCAUGCUCGCUCAUGUUCGAAUACUAAAAGGAGCUUAGCUCCUAUUUAUAGGAGUAUGAGGCGGCUACCCAAACGUAGUGGCCAAGAAAACUUACCCAAGAAGUAAACUAUAUUAAUAGAAUAUGUCUAUACCAUAUUUAGGGCCUCAUAUUUAGAUCUCGUACAAAUACUUAAGGGACUUAAAUGUAAUUAUGUGAUAAAGAAAUGGACAAAUAUGUAAUAAGUGAGGAGUUCUUAUUCUAUAAAAGGACCCCUCACCCUCACAAUUAGGGAAGGCCUCACUCUCACUCUCGGAGGCCAUUUCUGGAGCCUUCUCACCCCUCUCAACGCUCUCACUCCUAGAGCUCUCUCUCCCCCUCACUUCUCAGAGAAAUAUAAUACAAUCCGUGUGAACGUAGCCCAAACUUUAGGGUGAACCACGAUACAUCUUGUGUUAUUUACAUUACUUGCAGAUUCAAGGUCGGAUUUACGUUGUUCCAAGACCUUCGGUUUUGUGCAUCAACAGAAUACAUAUAUAUAGAUAGACAUAGAGGAUGGCUCUUAGCUUGGUUAUCGAAACAAAGGAGGAGGUGUAAAUAAGUGAUGGAGGUGGCAGCUGGGAAGGGUGCUUCCAAGCACCUCAAAAUGCAAUCCUAAAAUUACUAUAGAUUACUAUGAACAUGAUCAUGCCACGUUAGAAGCAAUAACUUCACAAGUGUAACCUAUGAGAUGGAAAUAUGAGAUAAGAUAAAGGAAGUGAAGAUAGCGGAGAAAAUGUUGUAGGUUCAAAUAAAUAAAUAACUAUAGAUAUUACUUGCUCAAAUAAUAAAACUGUAAUUAUAUAUAAAUAAUACAUUAAAAAAAAAAUAGGCAAAGGUUUUGAAAAUACGGGUCAUCACAAAUACAUCUCUGCAGUGCUACUUCGAGUUGUCAUAAUUUAGUUGUCCAUUUUGAACCUAUAUUUUGUGAUCUCCAGUCAACUAGGUUAGGUUUCUACUAUGAUUUAUGUUGAUGCACAAAAUCAGUGAGGACUUUGGUACAACAGAAAGUGUUAAGUUUGUGACCUUCGCUAGAUUGCUCCGGUCACUAGUGUGGAUAAGUAUGUAAAUGAAUAGGGAUAGAGAAGCAAACACAAGAUGUACGUGGUUCACCCAGAUUGGCUACAUCCACGGAGUAGAGGAGUUCUCAUUAUUUGUGAAGGGUUUACACAAGUACAUAGGUUCAAGCUCUCAUUUUGUGAGUACUAGUGAAUGAUAUAAUACAUCUGACAUUAGAAAAUAUUGUGAGAGAAUGAUCUCUAUUUAUAGAAGAGAGUUUCUAGUUUCAUUCUGAUAUUAACACGUGUCGUGUUGUGAUUGGCUUAUGAUGUUGACACGUGUCGUGCUAUGAUUGGCUUAUGAUGUCGACACGUGUCGCACUGUGAUUGGCCUCCUAGUUGGAGGGAAACUCUUCUGAGUCCUUGACGGUAUAAGGUUGAUCGGUGCUCAGUAAUUUCGGGAUUGGUCAAGUAUGGUACAAACAACUUCAAUAAUUACGGGCUUUAAACUCAUUGCCCUUGAUGAUACAACUUAUUUUCUAGUCAAACCUUUAAAAAUUGGUACCACUAGGUUGACUACUCAUGCUAUAUGCCCAUCACAAAACUCGUUCAUGCAUGGAAAUAAAUUUCGUUUGAGAGUAGUUGUUUUCCGGCGUUAAGUCCUUCAAAUAUAUGUUCGGAUUUACUAAGUAAUUUGCCUAUGCUUGGGUAAAUUCCUCCACAUUUAAAGUAUUUGUCAGAAGAUCUUCAAUACCUUAAAAAUUCCAUUGUAAAAGAUAAUCUUUGUCUCUUUCUACAAGCACAUUACUUUUUCUUUCUUCUUAAUCAUAGAUCAUUUCUCAAAGAUAGCUAAGCCACCCCCACAAUUUCCUCCAUUGUGGUUGCUUUGAAGCCUAAUAACUAAUCCUUCCUGCAAGCAGCACUUUUGGCAAUCGUUGCCUUUGGCCUCUAGACUAACCGAGAUUUAAUAGUUUGGACUUCACUCUUUUGACUAAAGACAACCCCAACUUUCUUUGCAACAUAUGUGCACUAUUAAUAUGAUUAUUUUGUAGUGCAAUAACAAUACAACACGGUAUAAUAAGAAUGUCUCAUCACAAAUAUAUUCACAUUAUGCAUUAUAUGUGUUCAGUAGGACGCCAUGUUUGAGAUUCACAAGUCGUGUAAUAUUCAUAUAUACCAUAUACACGAUAUCUCAAACCUUCGAAAGAGGAUCUUUGCCGGAUCCUUUUUGUGAGGAUUCCGGAAAUCCUUCAAUCACAUCCGUUCAUUGUACAUCAUGCGACCAGUUUUCGUCAGGUAAUUUUAUAUUCAAUUUUAAAUAAAAAAAAAUUACAAUGAUUUUUUAUCGCACGAUGUACAAUGAAUAAAUGUGAUUUGAGGAUUCCCGUGAUCCUCGCUGGAUCCUCACUCCAAACCUUCACUCCUUCUGUAUCAACGCACACCAUGCGUAAACUUUCUAGGUGAAAAGAAACAUCCUUUCAUGAAAAGAUAUUUCACAUUUUCUCAGAUUUUCUUAUCACCUCUAUAAUGCCAAGAGGCAAGAGAUAUCCAUUUAAUAUAUCAAAUACAACCAACUCAUGUUCCUUCAUAAUACCUCGCUUACAUAUCCAUCACGGCUGCAUUCAAAUAAUCCACUAAUAUUUCUUUAGGAAAUAUCGAGCACAACCAAACAUCCUGCAUUUCUCCAUGAAUACAUAUGGGAUAAAUCGUCGUUCGGACUAUCGUCAGUCUCAAUCAAUUGGUUGGAACAGAAAUCAUGUAAUAGAUUUCCUUUCCAACGCUUAGCAAAGAGGGCGGCCUUUUCCCUUCAUUCAUUUGUGCCACUUCAAGAGACACGGUAGACGUAAAAACACACCAAACAUAUAAGACUCAUGCAUGUGUAUAUGCAGUAAAUAAAUUAUCUCAUGCUCAGGUCUUUCAUGUACCAGUUCCGUACAAUAUCCAAGACUCCAAUUGUGUCAUUUGGUCAAACGAUGUAACCCUUACUAGGGUUGCAUUAGUUUCAAAAAACACUUUCAGACUUCAGUUGGUCAACCGUAACCAACCAAUCUAAUUCUCCAUACUUCUAAAGGAAAUUAAAGAAAACUGCAAACUCAUAAUUCAACAAGUGUAAGAGAAACAUCCAAGUAUAUAUAUAUACAUAGAUUGUAGACAAAACUUCAAUGCAAAGCAUAUAUUCAAAAGGGUUCAAGCAGUCGAAGUGGCAAAGUGUCAAAUAUGAUCCAAAGCAUCCAACCGUAAAUCAGGAUUUGAUAUACAUUGAGUCAUGCUUUGUAAUAAACAUGCAAACCACAACCAUAUACUAAUCAUGCGUUUGCUCUCAUAUGACCAUAUUAUUCAUAUUUUCAAUGACACACGAAUAUACUUACCAAAAAGACAAAAACAUGUAAUCGAACACCAUAUUUUCUGUCUGUGAUUUUCUCACAAGCACACUUUAUUUGAUCAACUUUCGAUAGCAACUAAACCUGAACUUGUCUUUAAGAUUGUUGGAAAAAAUAAGGUCUAAUUGCUAUAUUAAAUCACAUAGAAAAUUAAGAAAUAAUUUAUACAAGUAUAUAUCAAAGUAAUAUAUGCACAUGAGUAACCAAUGUUAAAUGAACAUGACAUAAUGGAUUAGAAAAGGAGAUUAUUAUUGGCACUAAAAAAAUCUCAUUUUGCACUCCAAACUUUCUAUAAUUAGAAAGAAAAAUACACUUGUGAUAAGUGUAUAAUGCAAUUUUGGGAGUGUUAAUAAUAGUUCCCUUAGAAAAACCUAAAAAUACGAUCAAGGCAAGUGUUGGACACUUUGUCCUUAGGACAAGUUUAUGCCCCACUAUGGUGUUCAUGGUUGAUCGGCGCUUGUCUCCCAAGAUAACGACCACAUCCUUGUAAUAGUAUCACUCCAAAUCACAAGGCUCCAUGAACCACGAUUGUGUUGAAAACUCUCUCAUAUGGACUCAAUGCGACUUUCUAAUAUUUAGUGCACUAUAUAUGUAUUGAUUAAAAGUUAUUUAUGAUUAUGGGGGGGGCUUUCCUAUUUAUAGAAGUUGAGACAUGUCACAUCUCGACCCGGGCUCCAGCAUAUCCCAGGCUUGACUUCGACGUAGCACGAUAUUGUCUACUUUGGGCCCUAACCAUGCCCUCACGGUUUUGUUUCUGGGAACUCACACGGGAACUUCCCAGUGGGUCACCUAUCUUGGGAAUGCUCUCGCCCGAACUCGCUUAACUUCGGAGUUCCGAUGGAACCUGAAACUAGUGAGUUCCCAAAAGACCUCGUGCUAUAGGAGGUGGGCAUGUACAUAUAAGGCACAUCACCCCCUCUUUAUUGGUCGAUGUGGGAUGUUACAAGACACCUAUUUAGAAAGCAUGUGAUUAUUCAUAAAGAGUUAAAAGUUACAACUCUUCAUUUGAAUAGACACAUCUUUCUACCAAAAGACUCAACUUCUAAUUUCCAUUCAAUUAAUAAAUUUAAUAUUAUAAUAAUAGUAAUUAAAAUUUUUCAACACGUGUAUAUUAUAAACAUGCAUAUAUAUUAUAAGGGAAUUGUUAUUGGCAUUCCAAACUUUCAUUUUGCACUCAAACUUUCUAUAAUUAGAAAGAAAAAUACACUUGUAGGGGAUGUAGAAUGAGAUUUUUGGAGCGCUAAUAACAAUUCUCUGUUAUAACAUAAAUAUAAAGUAAUAUCUUUGUCAAAUAGAAUCCUAAAUAAAAAAUACAACAUUCUUUAAGGAUAAAUAAUUCAAUAGAUAAUAUUUUUUAAUUACACCUCUAUUUGUUUAAGAAUAGUACAAUAUUUUAUGUAUUGAGAAAAUGACACUACAAAUUCAUAUCAUGGUCCUAACAAACUAGAUCUAGAAACAUUACAAUAAAGCAUCAUGAAUCGUAGAGCAAUGAGAAGACUUCAAGCAUUUGUCCGAGCUCAUUGAGAAUCGCAAGAUUACACAAAUUAAUAAAAUCGUUAAACCUCGUAUUACACGGAGAUCACAUGAGAAUAAAAUCUCAAAUUAUGUAUUGGGACAAGAAGAUCGAUGCCUAUGGAUCGACUGCAUCAACUAAUCACCACCGCGAUCUUAGGACACCAAGUGAAGUAGAUCCAACAAAUCAAACAGCUCCACCUUCACACAUAAAUUCAAGAGAGGUAGCUCACCAAAAUGAAAAUGAAAAUCAAGUACCUCUCUUAUAAAGAGCAACCAAAUUAGCAAACUCUCCUAAGAGAUAAAUCAAAACCAAACUCCAAGACAAUCUUUGGAAAUUAUUAGUCAGAAGCAAGAUAAAAUUAUAAAAUUAUGUCACCGUUCGAUACCCCUUAGACAUUCGAGAGUCGUGUCAUUACACUAGCUAAACCUAUAAUGUCGUUCUGGCUAAACCCAACCUCGAUGCAAUCCGCCAUUUUCCAUGGCUUCUAACUUCAAUCCUAUAUCGAUGAUGAUAACUGGAUCCAAACCUUAUGCUUGUUGUGUGUGUGGGUGUUGACCCUAAAAACUACCAAGCCUACAUGAUGCGUAGGCCGGAUAACUAAUGAGCUAACUAUGUCCUUUGGUUAUGUGCGGGCGUGCAAACUUGUCGGCCGAGCUCGGUCGAGGAGUAAAAUAUGUUGAUGUUGCGUUGGGUGUGCUGCUAACUUCUCGAUCUUGCGACUGCGGCUGAGGAAUGAACACUCUUGGCUUCGAGUUCUAGAGCUUAAAAACAAGGCUCCUAGUUUUGCGAAGUUCAUAGAUUGUUGGCACAGGGUUCAGUCACGGUGAUUAUAAUCGUGAGAGUAUAAACACGUCGAAUUGGCUCAAAAUUGUACGGACACAAGUACUCAAAGGAAAUAUAUGUCUUGAUGGUAAAUGUGGUUCAGCUAUCAGAAUGCUGAACUCUAAACCCUACUUGUGAGUAACCAAUCAUAAACAAUUCAACAUUCAAAGUGCCAAGCCCCGUAAUUUGUAACACCUCACUUCGCCAAGAAGGUUAAUGAGAUAACCUCUACCAAUAAGGAUUAAAAAAUCAUUCUCAACCGAGACUUGGAUAGAUAACCAGUCGACCUUGACGUAAUGCUGUUUAUCCAAACUGAAGGUGCUUCGCGGUUGGCUGAUUCUACGGCGGCAGUGUUCUUUAUCCAAACUGAAGAUGUUCACCGGUUGCCUUCAAAGUGCUGUUUAUCCAAACUGAAGAUGUGUCGGCGGAAAAGAAAAUGAAAAAAUCUCAAGGUUGUUGAGAGGUUUCACGUAGAGCGAAAAUUUGCGCAGGGUAGCUUGUGUGUUGAAUUAGAGAGGCUGAAUGUGUGUUCAUCCUCUGUAUUUAUAGGAGCGAACCUACUUCCCACCGAGUUAGAACCUCACCUAGAUUAGGACUUCUCAUCCUGAUCUAACUAAGACUUGGUCAAUCCCACUUUAAUUAGGAAUUUGAACACAUCUUCACAACGAACCAGGUUCUUUCCGUGCUCCUUAGUGCCUUUAGCUUUAGCACUCAUGGGGGUUUAAGGAUUCAUCCUUCAUCUUUAUCCAAAUCAAUCAUUCUCACAAAGGGACUCGAUCGACAAAUAACUAGACAACCUUCAAUACCCAGCUGGCCUAUGAUCCCGCUUACUACCACUGGAUCAAGAAUCUCGGCCCAUUUGUUACCUUCGACCCAAAACAUCAUUUUGGACCCAAAUUGCCCCCUCGCUUAUGAGGUAUUCGACUUAGAAUUCUUUAGCCGAAUUUCAACCUUGAAGAAGUGGAAACAAACUAGGGUAUAUUUUAUAAAACAAUUCGAAUAUUCCAUCUAUCCAGCACAUUUAUGAAGCACGAUCGCACGAACCUAAUUUCGUCAGUCACUUUGCCACGUGGCAUCUUCUGGGCACGUCUGUCCUCUAAUGAUGACACUUGAAACGUGCAUGCAGACGCUAAACAUCACUUCGUCAUUAAUUCUGCUGCUACACAUACCCACGCCACCUUGAUCCACGAACUGCUAGGUCACUGAAUCGUCCUUUUAUCAUCAAAACCGCUGCCACAUGUUACCUCGUCGCCUCAAUCCUUGAGUUCUCUGGUCUCUUCACAUGGGUUUCCCGAAUCUCCAUAACGAUUGAGAAAACUGACUGCUUGAUUUUACCAUUUCUUUUCAAAAUAGAACGAUAAACCUCAUUCUAAAACUCUUAUAAAUACCCAAAAUCCUUUAUUUUCCUAUUUACGCUCUCAGAACUCUCAAACUUUUUAUUCCCAGAUCAACCUGUAAAAACUCAUUUCCAACCAGGAAAUUUCCUCUAAGUCUAAAACUUCUUCAAGCUCUCAGCAAUGGCUUCCAACACCUUCAUAUCCAAACUUUCUGACGAAUGCGUUAAGUGCCGGGACUUCAUCGACAUGAGCGUCAUAAAAAACCUACGAUUCGAAGGUGACUCGAGCGCUUCUCACCAGAUCAUGUGGCCACUCUUUAAAGACAAUGUCCCAGCAUCCAUUACCAACGUCCUCAAAGACAAUUACCUGAAACCUUUAUUUCAAGGGUAUGUCUGGUCGAAGUAGGAAUUGACCAAACCCCAAGGAACUUGGCCUUCCACCACUGCGGCUUAGGUAGCGUGGGUCGAGAGGAUGGAGAAGUUUUUUAAUAAAAAAUGGAAAGUUCUUGGUAUUUAUGGUGCCAUCAAGCUUUCGACCAUCGAGAUUGCCAUGGACAAAAAACUUCUUAUGGCAGCUCUGGGUUUUUGGUGCUCAGCCACCAAUACUAUGGUCCUUCCACUCGGCCUUAUUAGCCCUACUAUUCUCAACAUCUUAGCUAUCUUCAGGACCUCCCCUUUAGGUUUCCUGAUUGACAUUUCCCUCUUUGGAUGUCCUUCAAACCUCAACCUCAAGAUGCUAUUCGACGAACGCACGGUCGAGUCACUAAAGAAGAAAAAUCAAAAGCCUUUGAAAAAAGAAGUUUAGAAGUUGCAUAAAAACUUCUUCAACUAUAACACCCUCAUUCAACACUUCGUUGGCCGAAGGGAAAAAACCUCAGGAAGGGAGAACACGAAGCCUUCCUUUUCUAUUGGUACAACAAAUUCAUUUGUUGUACCAAGUCAAAUAAAUGUUUGGUUGAGAACAUGCCGAUCGUUGAGGCGUUAGCCAGUGGUCAUGUCCUGGCUCUUAGAUCAACUAUCUUUGCCAACCUCACAUGUUGCCUAGCCGAGGCAACGGUCAACAAGAUUGACCCCCACUAGACUGGCCCACUAUGGGUCCUUUAACUAUGGUUGCAAGUUUAUUUUGCCACCCUCAGGCCAGAAGUCCCCAACUUCAUACCCACUGAAGCAUUGGGUCUGCAAUUGGGCUCUAGACCCGCUCAUCCUUACUCGGCUGAAGAAGUUUUUAAAUACUUUUUUUUGGCUUAGAAGACCUUUCUGAUGAUGAGUUUUUGAUUUGUCGUCAUCAAGAAUAUCCCCCUUCCAUCAAGUUCUCAUCUUUGUCAUGGAAUGAAGCCGAAGACGCUAUCCUCCGAAAGAGCUAGGGACCGUUUGUGUUGAUGCGUGACCUUCCCAUCGGCUGGGAUGCUAAACGUGUAAGUUGGGAAGUCUACCUUCCCCACUUCACUACGCAGCAACUUGGCUACUUCCAAGACUGCUUACUUUCUCUACUUACCUCUCGUUCUCUCCUGAGCCGAUGAUGUUUCUCUAGUUCUUUAGAAAAAGAGUGCAGGGAGGCCGAGCAAGAAUAUCAAGAAAGAUGCAAGAAAUUCCGCCUUCGACCGAACAUCCUCGAGACACUCAAUACCGCCACCUUUGUUGAAUGGUGGGCCGCCUAUACCCAAUAUUUUUUGGCACACCGAUCAAAAACGUUAUCAAGAAAUUUUUUGGUGAUAGCCUGAAGAAGACUUCAGCUCCGACCUCUAAAGAAAUGGCUUAAGGUAUUUGUCUAUGUCUAUCAUUUUACUUUGGCCAUUUUGUUUAAACUUGUUGUUUUAAUUUUAGCUUCUUCAGGUGGUCAUGCGGAAGCAGUAGCUGCAGCUGUGAGCAAGAAAAAGCUGGCCCCCUUGCUAAAGAAAACCGCGACCGCCUCGCUGAUUUUGCCGAGCAAACAGUCUUGCCUAGAGGCUGAAAUGGUUGGCGAUGCUCCCCUUCCUAAAAGACGUGUUAAGAAGUUGGCGAGGAAAUGUAAGCGGGAGAUUCAUGUCAUCUCCAGCCAGACUAUAGGAGCCACCGCUAAGUCUCAUCGUGCUUUUGCUGUUCGACCUCGAUAGAUAUGCAAACAAAACCCCUCACUAAUCAAGCUCUUGAGGUUCAUCCCGUUGAACAAGUCGUGGUUGAGUCGGCCGUUGACCUAGUGGUCGAGGAACCCGUAGCUCCAGGGUCGGCUGUUGUUCUCGUCUUGAAAGAAGUGGCCACCUUGGCCGAAAAAACUUUAUCCCCGAAUCCAAAAACAAAAACAACGGUCGUUCUGGAGGAAGAAGUAUGACUAUAUUACUAGUAUCUUUUCCUUCCACAAGAUUUUGAAUCCUAAACAAUUCUUAUUUCAGGACGACGACAGCGAAGAACUCUUGCUAACAAGUCGUCAUCGACUAACUAGACUUCCUACCAACAAUCUUUCACUUAUGGUUAAGGUGACUGACCAAGUUGAUCCUCCUGUAACCGAUCGUGGAAAAAGGCCCCUUGUCAAGCCUGAAGCGACGACGGAGAUGCCAAUCCACCCACAAGAUCAAGAUCUUAACAUUCCUCCUCAAGAAGUUACUUCGGCUUUUGUAAGGCUCGAUCCCUUUCUUUCGUUGAUUUUACUAUAACAAGUCUGAACUGAGAAUAAUACUAAAUGUCAGGUGCUCAAUUAUUCAUUUCAUCGACAAUUCUAUGUGCCCAAUGGUGGUAUCUAUAUUUCUUAGCCACCUUAGUGGCCGUUGAAUGUAGAUAACCUCUAUUGGCCGUGUGAAUUGAGAAGCAAUCUUAACUACUAGGCUUGGCCAUUAAGCACUCUAAGUUUGAGCAAUGAACCAGAGGAUAUGGCUGAAGUCUCAUCCCCACAGGUCUAAAGCAAAUUCUCCAUGUUAUAUUCUUUACGAUUUUCUUUUUGCCUAAAACCUUUUCAUGUGCAUCUUUCAUGGGAAGCUGAGCUCGAUGUUCUCCUUUCGAAUACUGCUGGAGUAGCCAGAUCAUCUACUACGUCGACCGAACCUUCGGUAACCGAGGUCUAAUCCAACGCCCUUGCCAAGUUGUAAGAACUUUUAUCCCUCUCUGCUUCACAAAUCCUUCAAUGCAAAGGCCUCGACUUCGUAGGAGAGUGUCUGAACCCUCUUGCAGCUGGUGGUCUGCUGAGUACCGAGAAUGUCAUCUACCUACCCGAUAUCCUAGAGCGGACUCGACAGUUCUUUAGUAUUUUUGAACGGGCUCUCCGGGCUAACGACGACCUUAAGGCUGCAAGACCGCUCACAAAGCCAGUCGGCUGGAGGUUGAGGCCAUUAAAGUAAAGAAAACACAGUUGGCCAACUUUGAUCAUUAAAUCGUCGAGCUACAAUGUCAAAUUGUCAAACUUCAACGGAAAAGGUUGGCCGUUACUUCGGACCUUGAAAAGAAUUUUGAAGCAAAUAAGGCUCGGUUAACGGACUUUGCGGUUGACGCAAAGCAGGUCCAGCAAUUUCAGCUUAAUCGUAGGACAAGGCAAGCCGAAGUCACCAUAGGUGAAGUAAGGUGGUUAGAACUGAAGGCCGCUCUUGAAGCCUUCCUUCAUUUGACCCUUUAGGAUUUUGGUUUAACUAUCUUUUGUAUCUUCGUUUGUACGUUUCUUUGCAAAAUCAAUGAAAUGAUCUUUUAUUCUCGUAUCUGCCAAGUGACUAGAUAAUAUUUCUUUAAAAAUUUCCCGUUGAUUGGUAACUUGUGCAUUAAACCAGUUCGAUCCUUGAGGUGGUAUGCCCCAUUACCGAUAACUUUGUGAACGAUGAACGGUCUUUCCCAAUUUGGCGACCAUUUUCCGAACCUGGGGUCUUUAUUCCUACGAGCAACACAGUUUGCCAAACUAACUCGCCCUCUCUAAAUGUUUUUUGUUUGACUCGCUGAUUAUAAGCUCACUCGACGAUCUUUUUCUGUGCCACCAAUAAAUUAUAAGUGUUAAGUCGAUUUUCUUCCAAAUCUUCUAACUCUUGCCGCAUGGCAUAACUGUACUUGGCACUGAACAAGCUACUUUGUUCAAUCACUCGCAACUAGUUUAUACUUAGCUCGACUGGUAACAUAGCAUCAUGGCCAUAAGUUAACGCGUAUGGAGUCGUUUCAGUGGCCAAUCGCGGUGAAGUUUGAUAAGCCCAUAAUGCUUCGUUUAACUUUAAAUGCCAUAUACCAGGCCUUUCCUUUACCAUUUUCUCGAGAAUAUCGAUUAAAACCUUAUUACUUGCUUCAGCCUGUCUGUUCGCCUGUGGGUAAUACGGUGUCGACUGCUCAAGCCGAAUUUUUAGAUUUGUCGUAUACUCUUGAAACCUGCCAAAUGUAAAGAUCGUACCAUUAUCUGUUAUGAUUGUUUCUAGUGCGCUGAAUCUAGUCAUGAUGUUUUCUACAAAAUUACAGACUUCUUUAGACGUUAACUCGGCAUAUUACUUGGCUUCGACCCAUUUGGUAAAGUAGUCCGUUACGACAAGUAUCCACGCAUGCUUUGCCGACCCGGAGGAUGGUGCGAUUUUUCCAAUUACAUCCAUGGCCCAUCUCCUGAACGGCCAUGGUUUGGUGAUCGAAUGGAGUGAUUCGGUCAGAACUUUUUGUAUAGGCCCAUGAAUUUAACACUGUACACAUCCUUUUGCGUACUCGAUACAAUCCUUUAGAAUUCUCGGCCAGAAAUAACUGUGUCGCCGAAGCAACCAACCCAUCUUUUGUCCGGAUUGAUGAGCCAUGCAAAUACCUUCAUAGACCUCUGUGAUUGCUUGAGCAGCCUCUUGAGGGCCAAUGCAUAAUAAUAAUAGACUGUCUUCACCCCUUCAAUACAAUUCGUUUUGGUACAUUACAUAAUUCGAGCAUGAACCCUUGUCUUACGGUCGUGUUUGCCAUUGAGAUUAUCAAGAUACCGUAUAAUUGAUUUUCUCCAGUCAUCCGGCAUUGCCUCGACUGCGCAAACUUCUAUGGGGUCCUUUUGCUCUAACAACGAUGGUAAUGACAUGACUUGUGUACGGAUCACGUAAUCACGAUGGAGAAUUUGCUGAUUAACUAAUGCCAGGUAUACUCGUCGGGUCACAAGUAUUUCUCGGCCUGGUUUGCCCCCCAAGAGUUGUGCUCCAGAGGCUAUUUGAGCUAAUUCAUCGGCGUUAGUGUUUCGAACCCGUGAAAUGUGUUUGAAGGUAACCCCGUCGAAAGACUCUGCCAAAUAGCUGGCAACCAUGUGAUAUGGCACCAAAGUACAACUCAUGCAACAAAAAGUCCUAUUAAGUUGGUUAAUCACAAGUUCGGAAUCACCGAGAAUAAGGACUCGAGUUGCCCGUAAAUCAUGCAGGACACCAAGGCUAAUGAUAAGGGCUUCGUAUUUAGCCUGAUUAUUCGUGUACUCAAACUUGAGCUUGAAAGAAAAAUACCAGCGGCUGUGAUUGGGGGAUUGAAUAACGAUCCCAACGCCAGCCAUGGCGAAAGUAUGAGAGCCAUCAAAGUACAUUGUCCAGUAACUGUCACGUGUUUGCACCAUGCUGAUGUCCAUGUCAUUGCCCCCAUAAUCAUAUGGUGAGGGAUGUUGGGCCAACAAAUCGGCCAACGCAUGGCCUUUGAUAGCUUUCUGGGUCACAUACUGCAAACUGAAUUCAGAUAGUGCCAUUGUCUAUUUUCCAAUUUAGCCUUUUACUAUCGGCCGAGUGAGCAUGUAACGAAUGACAUCGGUCUGGGUGAUGACUAGAGUGACCGACAGGAUCAUGUAAUGCCUAAGUUUCGAUGCGGUGAAAAAUAAGGUGAGGCAACGCUUCUCGACGACGGAAUAAUUAAUCUCUGGUGGGUUGAGAUUUUGGCUAAGAUAAAAAAUGGCAUGUUUGUGCCCAACAUCAUUGUCUUAUGCAAAAAGGCAUCUGAUGGACUUCUCGGCCGCGGAGAUGUAUAGCUUGAGAGGUCUGCCAUGUCAUGGUGGGACUAGGACGGGUGGAGUUGUGAAGGAGACCUUAAUUGUGUGAAUGCCUCUUGAUGUUUAGCACGUCAUUCGAAGGUGUUAGUAUCCUUAGGUUUCAAGAGUGUGGAGAAGGCUUUCAUUUUUCUUGCUGAAUUGGCAAUGAAUCGACAAAGAAAGUUAAUCUUGCCGAGCAAUGACUGUAGUUAUUUCUUGGUAGUCGGGGUUGGAGUGUUGAUGAUUGCUCAUGCCUUAUUCUCGUCCACCUCAAUGCCACGAUGAUGUACAAGGAAUCCUAAAAAAUUACCGGCUGAUACGCCGAAAGCACAUUUGGCCAGAUUCAUUUUAAGGUUGUGUUGCCUUAUUCUCGUCCACAUCUGGCGAAGAUCGUCUAGAAGUGUCUACCGACACUCUGAUUUGAUUACAAUAUGGUCAAUGUAGACUUCGACGGUGGUACCAAUCAAAUUAUGGAAUAUAAUAUUCAUGGCUCAUUAGUAUGUAGCACCGGCAUUCUUGAGGCCGAAUGGCAUGAUGACUCAUUCGUAUGUGUCGAGUGCCCCCGGACAACGAAAAUCGAUCUUAUGGACAUCGACCUCGACGAUGAAAAUCUGGUUAUAACCAGCAUGUCCAUCCAUAAAAGAUAAGAUCUUAUGGUUUACUGCUGCAUCAAUUAACAAAUCUGAAAUUAGCUUUGGAUAUUCAUCUUUGGAAGUUGCCAGAUUCAAAUUGCGGAAGUCAAUAUAGAUACGUAGAGCACCACUUUUCUUUAAUACUGGGACGAUGUUCGCCAACCAUUUGACGUAUCGAGCUGUCCGAAUAAACCCAGCUUUUAAAAGUUGAACGAGUUCAUCCUUUAUGUCGAGUUGCACUUCGGUGGAUAAUCGUCCAGGUGGUUGGCGGAAUGGUUUGCACCCAGGUUUGAUGCGUAAUUCAUGUUCAACCAGUGUUAGAUCUAAUCUAGGCAUCUCAUGGUAACUCCAAGCAAAACAAUCCUUAAAUUCUUUAAGCAAAUUACAAAGCUUAGUUUUUACAUGUUGGGGUAACGAAGUACUAAUGAACAAGGGUCAUGGGUCUUCGGCCGUUCUAACAUUUAUUUCCUCUAAAGGAUCAUUGACUUGAGGUUGAGUAUUCUUGAGCUUGGCUGGUGCAGCUUGAACUUUGUCUAGUGAAAGCACUGGGCUGGUGUCUCAUUCGGCUAAAAAUUCGACUAAGUUAACGCCUGAAUUUGGUUGGUCGAUGCGUAACUAACCGUGGGAUUCUUGUAAAUCGUUCCUCGGGAUGGGGACUCCCAGAUCUUUUCUUCUCGGAGUAAAUAAUCAUAUUGCUCGACGUGCUGGGCCAGCUCGUACAUAUCUCAGAAGUUUACCCUUAAGAAUUUCUUUUUAUAUUCCAUAUCUAAGUAGUUCAGAGCGAUUCUAACGAAUUCAACUUCGGGGAGAGGUACUCGACAUUAAUUUCUGGCCGACUUGAAUCUCGUUAAGUAUUCCAUUGGCGACUCGUCAGAUGCUUAAGCCAUCUUGGCUAGUGAUGAAACUGACAUUUUCAUCCCUGGCCGAUAGAAUUGUUCAUGGAACUUUUCGACCAAUUCCUCCCAACUUUGGAUGGAGUUAGGCGGGAGGUUGAUGUACCAAGUAAAUGUUGAACCUGUUAGCGAGAAGUUGAAUAGUCGCAGUUUAUGGAAGUCACUAUUAACAUCUUCGCAUUGCACAGUGAACCGAGCCACAUGUUAUAAGACAAGGAUGACUAGCCAGCAAAAAGGCUGAAGUUGGGGAUCUUAAAGCCUUUAGGAUAUUCAAACUUUUCCACAUAAGCUAGAUAUGGAUGGAUGAAUUUCGGGAACCUCGGCCCCCUUUUCAAGGCCAAGUCGAUCAUCCUUUGGACCUCGAUCAUAUCGACGGAUGCUGUUUCCUUUCUCGGGUCAGAUCUAUCUAAUCUAUUGCUUGAUCCUUAUUUUUUUUCCAAUUCAAUUGUUUUGAGCCAAACAGAUCCUGUUUAGGCUUUUAGCGGAUUACUCCUAAAUAGAUGUUGUCGGAGCUGACCAACAGGUCCAUCUUCGAAGGCUUUACUAACCAAUAGCUCAAGCAAUCUGGUAUGUGUGUCACCAUUACUUCGUAUCACAUCAAGCAAACUGUUCAUUUUUUGGUUGACUGACUGUUCAACCUGCCGAGAUUGCUCAUCAAGUCAUCUCCGAAGAAACAACCUAGUCGGGAGAUCAGAGCUUUCACCACUAUCUUCAACCCAGUCUUCCAUUAUCCCUUCAAUUAAAAUGCUUGUGGUUUUGUCGAGAAUUUCUGUGUUGUGAAGCUGACCGUCGAGGCAGACUUCCCUCUUUCGGUGCGUUACACUUGUAGCCUAAGGUGCCGUAGUGAUAAGAGGAUUUUGUACCUGUGAUAAAUCUUGUCCAAGGCCCUAAACUGGCAAGUUUGUCGUUAACUUUCCCAUGACUGUUUUCUUCUUUACUGACCUUGUCUCAAUGGUCAUAAACUCCGAAGUUUUAGCAUUGGGUCCCACUGGGCGUGCCAAAAUGUUGACCCUAAAAACUACCAAGUCUACGUGGCGCGUAGGUCGAGUAACUAAUGAGCUAACUACCUCAUUUGGUUAUGUGCGGGCGUGCCAAUUCGUCGGCCGAUGAGUAAAAUAUGUUGAUGUUGCGUUAGGUACACUGCUGACGGUCGAUGAAGGAAUACUCUCGGCCUUCGGGUUCUAGAGCUUGAAGACAAGGCUGCUAGUCUUGCAAAGUUCAUGGAUUGUUGGCACCUGGUUCAGUCAUGGUGAUUAUAUUAGUGAGAGUAUAAGCAUGCCGAACUAGCUCCAAAAUGUACAGACAUAAGUACUUAAAGGAAAUAUAUAUGUCUUGAUGGUAAACGUGGUUUGACCGUCAGAAUGCUGAAAUCUAAACGCUACUUGUGAGUAACCAAUCAUAAACAACUCGGCGUUCAAUGUGCUGAGCCCAGUAGUUUGUAACAUCUCACUUUGCCAAGAAGGUUAAUGAGAUGACCUUUACCAAUAAGGAUUCAAAAAUCCUUCUCGCCCGAGACUUGGAUAGGUAACCAGUCGGCCUUGACGCAGUGCUAUUUAUCCAAACUGAAGAUGUGUUGGCGGAAAGAAAAUGAAAAAAUCUCAAGGUUGUUGAGAGGUUUCAUGUAGAGCGAGAAUUUGCGCAUGACAGCUUGUGUGUUAAAUUGGAGAGGUUGAAUGUGUGUUCAUCCUCUGUAUUUAUAGGAGCGAACCUACUUCCCGCUGAGUUAGAACCUCACCUAGACUAGGACUCCUCAUCCUAAUCUAACUAAGACUCGGCCAAUCCUACUUUAAUUAGGACUUUGAACACAUCUUCACAACGAACCACGUUUUUUCCACGCUCCUUAGUGCCUUUAGCUUUAACACUCAUGGGGGUUUAAAGAUUCAUCCUUCAUCUUUAUCCAAAUCAAUCCUUCUCACAAAAGGACUCGAUCAACAAACAACUAGACAACCCCCAAUACCCAGCUGGCCCAUGAUCCCCCUUACUACCACUAGAUCAAGAGUCUCGGCCCAUUUGUUACUUUCGGCCCAAAAUAUCGUUUUGGACCCAAACAGUGGGUCAAAAAACGGCAAUAUCAUGGUGAAUACAGUGUUUCGGCAACAAUUCUACACCAAACAAAGUAAACAGAGAGGGAGAGAGAAGAAAUCAAAAAUAAUUUUUAAGAAGAUUGUCGCCAAUCCCAAAGCUAAGAAAGCUCUCAAAAGUGGGAUUUUUGAAAUUUGUGUCAUCUCACAAUUUUGGCACAAUAUUUCAUAAUAGGGCAAUGCUAGAGAAAUCAAAUUUCUAAAUAAAAUGUUGUCGAUGUUAAUAAUUAGAUUAUUGCUUAAAUAUUGAUUAACGUACUUAUUUUUUAUUAAUGAAAAUUAUUUAAUUUAAAAUUUUAGUCUUUAUAAUAUUAUCCUUUAUAAUAUUAACACUUAAAUUAACGUUAAAUUUUGAAGUGAGAAUGAAUUCAUAAAAAACAUAUAUUUUGAGAUAGUCUCCUCGAUAUUUCUCAAAUAAAAAUCUGAAUUGACAAGCAAAUACCGCCAAAACCAUGAAAGUCCAAAAUUUUUAGGGACUAGCGUUGAAAAGCUUAUGAUAGGCCACACCCUCCCUCUAUUUCAUGUUGUAUGUUCCCUAGGCCACGCUAGGGUAGGCUGCUAGUGUUUUUUGACCUUUAGACUUCUUAUCUGAUGUUAAUUAAAAUACAAUAUAAAAUUAAUUGUCCUCAAUAUGCUGAGAACUGAUCAGCUUGUCUACUACUGCAUGUGCACCAGCAAUCUGCACUCCCCAGGUUUGAAACGUUAAGUCUGCAAGUCCAACAUGCUGAUGGCAACUGCUUAAUGUACUCAGAAAUCUGACAAAUGUACUACUGACUUGUCUUAAAUCAAAAACUAAAAUAUUUAAAAAUUAUUAUUUGCAUUCUAAACUUUUUAUUUUACAUUCUAAAUUUGGAAAAAUGAUCAUCUUCAGAUUUCUUCUUCUUAAUCCAGUAAAUUAGAAAAUUCAUGCUAUUAAAAUUUGAUUCAACGGUUACAAAAAAUGAGCCACUUUAAAAAUUAUAAUAACUUUAACUGUUUGAUCAAAUUUCAAUAACAUGAAUUCCCUGAUUUGAUAGAUUAAAAUGAAGGGAUAUGAAAAUGAUUGGAGGAGGAUUGUCUGCCCUCCAAGUUCCUGUGCCCUCCCAUGCCCUCCUGAUUGUGUGGUCACGGUUAAACCACGUUAAUAUUUUAUAUUAUUAUUCAUUUUUGUUUUAUUAUCUCUAUAAAAAAAUAAUAUAAAAUAUUAACGUGGCUUAACCGUGACCACACAAAACAGGAGGGCAUGGAAGGGCACCGAAACUUGGAGGGCAGACAAUCCUCCUCCAAAAUGAUUCCCUUCCCUAAUUUUUUUAAUUAAAAAAAUUACACUUUUAAAGAAAGCAAAAUAAUUUUUUUAAAGCGCCAAUACCUAUUUCUAACAUUUAACAAAUCAAAACUAUUAUUAAAUUUAUUUACUUUCUUGCCACUUAGUAUUACGAUCGAGUGAUAUUUCUUUUUCAUUAAUAAUCGAGAUCUUAAAUUCGAUUCUUGCUAAAAGCUAAUUUGAACCACAUUAUUAGUCGUCCAUUGUUUGGUUUAACUCACUCAUUCACUCCUUAUACAAUCUCCAAUCAUUAGGUUAAAACCUAAAAUUUUUAACCCUGAAAUAGUUUUUCUCUUCCAACCUUCUGGGUUAAAUUUUUUGUCGGAGAGUAUUAAAGAAUAAAUUUAGAAUUAUUUUUUUAAAGUAACUUUAAAAAAAAUUAUGUAGACUAUCCUAAUUUAAUUUUAUGAACAUUUUAACCGAAAAACAUUUAAAUUUCGAGAAAUAUUGAAAAAUCUCUAAAGCGACACCAUGAAACUCAUAGAACACUACGAGGAAUAUGAAACACAAUUUUUUUUUUUAAAUUACUUCAGCCAUUGGAUUUAAAUUUGGACUGUUUGAUCUUUUUUUUUACUGUUAGAUUUGAACAUAAUAGAUCUUAACCAUUAGAUUCAAUUAAUUUAUAAAUAUAAAACUAAAAAAAGUACACGUAUAUAGUGGGCUAGCUGUACUAAUUCAAGGGGAAGUUUAGGUUAAAUUUGCCUCAGAAAUGCGUUUUGAGUUAAAACUCAUAUUUGAUCCAAGGGUUAGAAUAAGUUAAGAUAAAUUUAGUGUAGAUAAUAUCAUUAAAAAAAAUUAAUUUAGUUUGUGUUCAAAACUUUGGCUGGAGCGUUGGAGGAAGCACCAAAAGUUAAUUAACGCACAGAGCACUAUGUUCACUCUGGUGCGCGUGUGGGGUUAAAAAACAGGGUAAAGCCAAAGUGCCCAAACCAGCAAACCCUAUUGGCAUGAGGGUGAAGAAUCCAAUUGAAAAUUCUUGUAAAAAGCGAGAGAUUUUUUUAAUAUGAUCAGCACACGAAGUGAUAUACCACAUAUCAUUAUAUAUAAAUGAUGAGAUAUGUGUAUUAAAAAUUUAAUAAUUUAAAAAUUAAAAUUUCUCAUCACUUACAUAAAAACACUAGUAUACUAUCCGUGUUUCCGUUACAAUAAAAAAUUUCUCUUAAAAAGAAAAACCCAAUUGAAAAUUCAUUAAAGAAAGCAAGCAAGACCCAAUUGAGAAUUCUUAUUAAAAGAAGAGAUGUUUAACCAAUAAAUUGUUAGUUGAGAGUACAAUGAGUAAGAUUUAACGAUGAAUUUUUUUUUUGUAAUCCGGUAUACUGAAUAUUGAAGAAAUUUCAUAAAAAAGACAUUUAUUGAUUUGAUUUGCUCCUUGAAGUCUUUUCAUCCUACUUUACUGUUAAAAUUCGAUUUGUCGAAAUUUGUCGAAAUUGCUAAAAUCAAGCUAUUUCACUCAACUUCUGUCAAUUCUAUCUCAUAUUAAUUAAACAGAUGGACAAUAUGGACAUUUCAUACUUUACUGAUUGAGAUGAGCCAUUUUGAUUGACGAAUGAAUUUUUUUUAAGACAAAUUUAGUUUUAGAAAAUAAAUAUAAUUAUAAAUCAACAAAUAAGCCAUAAAAAAAACCCAAGUGAAAAUUGAAAAGAAAGAAGGGUUGUUUUUCAGGCUUUGGAAUAUGCGUCAUCUGGUGAGAGCAGAGACAAACCGGGCAAAGCAAAAGACCUGAGAAAAGUAAAAGAGAGAGGGGCAGAGUUCGAAAAAUAAAAACCAAAAGGGUAAAAGGCUCACUCAGCAGAGCAUUCUCUCAUCCCUUACUUCUUUGUCUCUCUGUCUGUUCACAUGAAGCUUCGAUUUCUAUACUCUAUUGGGUUUCAUUUUUACCAUUCUUUCCCCUCCUUUUCAUUUUCUCCCUUCUCUUCUCGCAAAUUACUUUUUUUUUUCUUUUUCUAAUUAUUAAAAAAAUAACACAAAAUAUUAACGUGAUUUAACUUUAAUCGUCCACGUAAGAUAUGAGAAAGAGGAGACUAGCAGAGGAUGAAAAAAAAUGACCAGAAGGCAUUGACUUGGCUUAAUAACCUUUGAAUUCCUAUAUACCUCUACUUUAUUACCCCCCUCUCUCUCUCUCUCCAGCUUUCCUUUUAAAUAGGUUAUCAGAAACCCACGCUCACGUUCACCCAACGGCAAAGGAAGAGGAGAAAGAAAGAAAUCACAUUUAGCAACCCUUUGAGAUUUUGCGGUCAAAAUAUCUCCUCUUCUGCUUCUUCAAAGCUCAUAACUUUCACACUCAAUGGAUCAAGUAAACCUUGUCUUUAAUACCCUUUUGGAGUUUAAUCUUGAAGAUGUUAAAUUUCUUUUUUCUGAUUUGAUUGUGUGGGUUUUGUGUAUAAACAGGAUUUUAGGAUGAUGAGGAGUCAAGUUCCAGCGUUUGGGAGCUGGGAUUGGAACCAAGACCUUCCAUUUACUCAGUGUUUUGAAUCGGCAAGGCAGGCUGGGCUUCUGCGCUACACUACUUACUCUGAUGAACACGAUGAGGAUCGUGAUCUGUAUGUUGCUGGUGAUUUGUACGAGAAUCAUGUUGUCACACCUACCAUGAUUGUUGUUCCUCGCAGAAGGGUAACUAAUAAACUCCAUCCAUUCUUUUUUUAUACAGCUUGUUUAAUUUCCAAGUCCCAAUUUUGCUUCAAAUUCCGCAUUGAUCAUUCAUGACCUUUACGAUUUAAUAUCAACUAUAAAAUCGUAUUUUAUCGAAAAAAAGUUAGGGAAAUACAGACACAAAUAGAACCGGUCAUAAACGUCGUAAAAAUAUAAACAAACAUAGAAUUGUGGGGACACUAAACAGAUUAUAAGCCGUUUACAAACCACAAUUUAGCGCACUUUAUUGACGUCUUACUGACUCUCGUGUUUUAUUUUUGAUUAACUUUUCUCUUAACAUGUUUGCUGUGUGUAUAAUUUCCAAAACCAAAAUAAUUACAUUGUUUCAUGGAUGGAUGAUGAAUGAUUGAUUGUUUUUCUAUUGGUGGCAAAUUCUGCAGAACAAAAUGCGGCAGUCGCAUGUGAAAGAAGUAAAAGAGCAAAGUUGGAUGGUGAGUGAUGUGAAGGAGCCACCAAGCCCCCCACCAAGCCGCAGGCCUACACCAAAGCCAGUGGAUGAAGACUUGUACAAAAUCUCACCACACCUCUUUGCAAAAUCCAAAAAGGUAAAAGGCAGUUCUCCAAUGUCUCUCCUUCUCCGUUUGAUAAAUUAUUAGCAAAGAGAAUUAAUGAAAAUGGUUUAAAAACUUUGAGUUUUAACGAUAAGAUAAAAUAAAAGAUAAAAUGAAUAGUAUUAAGAUUGAUUUUUUAAUGUAAAAUUGUGAUUUUUUGUUAAAGUGAACAAUAUCGAAAGUUUUUCGUUAAAAUUUCCUUAUUAUUAUCAUUAUUGCAUGUCUAAAUAAAUUUGCACCUACAAAUACCUCUUCUUUUUAACCUCUUUGUUGACCUUAAUGCAUAAAGUUCUUAUAAUAAUUUUGGUUUUCAAUUUUUGUGAACCUUUUGGUUGCAGAAGAGAGGAUUUGGGUUCUUUUCAAGCUGCUUGCUGCCAACUUGUAUUGCUUGAUGCAGUAAAGAGGAGAAUUUGGGCUCGUUAAAAAACUCUUUUAAGACUGAAAGUGUUUUUUGAAAAAAUAUUUUUGAAUCCAAAAGGAUUUUAACGGUAGCCUGUAAGAAGCAUCAGUUAUAGACUUCUUGUAAGAAAUACUUUAAGUAUUUUCUCAAGAUUUACUUGUAUCUUACUAAGUAUUGAUUUCAAAAAUAUUUUUAUCAAAAUCGCAUUCAGUCAUUAUAAAGACACUUCCAAUCGAGCCCGUAUCAGAGUUAGUAAAUAUUCGAGGAAAUUAAAGAGCAAAGUGGUUUAGUGUUUUUAUUUAGUGUUCCACUUUAAUAUUAUGAACAUAUUCAGCUACUGAAUGAUUAUUUUGUCUUUCUAGGCACAGGAUUUGGGGAGUUUGUAACUUAGUUUUUACUGAAACUUUAUAUAUAUUUAUUUCGUUGUGGGAUAAUAUUGUUGGAACUUGGAAUUUUAAUUUUAUAAGAUAUUGUAAAAGUAAAAGAAGGGCUUUCUUUUUGUGGGGUUUAUUUUUUGUCAGUUAAGAUAUGUGGGGUUUAAUAUUUGAAUAUUCCAAUAUGUCGUGAAAAGAGGGGAAUGGGGUUGUUUGGAUGAAAAGAUUUUACCAAGGAAAAAUGAGUAAUGUUUGUUUUUAUAUCACAUUUUUAUACCAUCUUAAGUGAUAUCUGAGAUGGACAGUCGCAUCAUUUGAAAAAUUUACAAAACUUAAGGAAAAGAAGGAGAAAGACUUAUCGUCUAUCACGAUCAUCAUUUAAUUAACUAGAUUUUCUUAAUCAAAUGAUGUAGCUGUUUAUAUCAAAUACCAUCUAAAAUAGUAUGAAAAUAUGAUACAAAACAUUGUAUGAAUAUCAUUAUGGCAUCACAUGUGGGGGUAUGGGGAUAUUUCCUUUUCAUGAUAAAAGGAAAAGGAAAAGAAAAGGGUGAGGCACACACACGGUAUAUAACACCCACUCAGAACAGUGAUUGAUACAAAAGGCACUCAACACACGUAAAUUAUAACUUCAAGUUUUGGGAAAUCGAACAAAUAUUAAAAUUAUAAUUUAAUAUGAACUAGUGUUUUUUUUGUAAAAAGCAUCAGUUAGAUGUUAGGUGGUUGCAAUAAGCAUUUUAAGUGUUAAGGAGAUUAGAUAGGCAUCAUGAUCUCUUACUCAUUAUGGUUCCCUUCGAGCCAUCCUCUUGGCAAUCCAUUAUUGAAUCCACCCUAUUGAACAGUAACUGCCUUUAAUAAAUAGUAACUACCAUUAAUGAACAGUAAUUACCUUUUGCAUCUCCACCCUUGGAACCCUCCCCCCUGGCAAUAGGUAAUAAAAUAGUAGUUUUUUUUGUUUGUUUAAAUAAUAUAAAAUAAAAAAAACAGGGAAAUGAGGCUAUAGGGCCUCGGGCUGACACAAAAAACAAUAAAAAAAUGCCUUGGCCCUCGGGCUGCAGGCCUGUCAACUAUCCACCCCCUUGUGCUCGGGCUCCCACUCUCACUCGGGCCCUCCAUGGCUGGAGAAGAAUCAACAGGCCCUCGUGCCCCUUCCUGCAGCCCGUCCCCCGUCCAAAAACGAAGGCUGGAGUUGCUCUUAUAAUUCUCCACUUUCUCUCUUUCUUUCUAAAGUAGGAUGCAUGUGGGGGUUAGGGAACUAAAGGGGAUUAAGGAGUUCAAAUUCUAAAAGCAUCCAUCCCUUGUACUCAAAUAUGUGACUUCAAAAUACAGAAAAAAAUUGGGAACUUUAACGAAAAGCACCCAGUACUGUUCACUUUAACGAAAAACCACAUUUUUACACUAAAAAGUCAAUCCUGGUACUAUGCACUUUACUUUUUAUUUUGUCCUUAUCAUUAAAACUCAAAGUUUUCAAACCCUUUUCAUUAGUUUUCCUAAAAAAAUUAGGUAACAUAUGUAAAGGUUUGUUUGUAAGUGUUUUUAAAAUAGCUAGAAGUAUUUUUUGUGAAAAUAUUUUUGUAAUCAAUUUUUAGUAAAAAUACAAAUAAAUCUUGAAGAAGUACAUAAUUGGUAUUUAUUGCAGAAAGUACUUCAAAUAUUUUUCUUUUAAAAACACUUUCAAUCAUUUUACAAGCCAUUCUAAACAAAUUCCAAUAUAUUCACCAGUCACUCAACAUAAUACAGGUUUCGUUUCCCUGUCAUCAAAAAGCAAAAUUUUUGUUCGGUUACGUUUGACCACCCUUUAACUAUUUAGAAAAUCUUACUUGGUCAAACCUGUAGUAAACUAACCACUUGGUAUAAAUUUAGCACUCCAUUUGUGGAAAAACUAAUCAUUCUUUAGCAACCCCUUUAUUUCGACCUUCUCCUUCUAUUUUUUUGGAUUGGGAUCCUCUCCUAAGCCAAUGGAGAGGAUUCUCCUGACCAAACAUUGUAGGUCAUUGGAUUUUCAUCAAACAACUAUAAUUAUUAUAACUUUAAAGGGAUCUUCCUAUUUAUAGUCGUUGAAUAAAAAUUCAACGGCCCACAAUGCUUAGUUAGGAGGAUCCUCUCCAUUGGCUCAAAAGAGGAUCCAAUUCCGAUAGUUUUUACUCCUUUUUAAUCUUGUAUUGUUACUUGAUAUCCAAAAUAUUGGAAUUGGAUCCUCUCCUGAGCCCAAGGAGAUGAUCCUCUUGACUAAGGAUCUUGGACUGUUGGAUUUUUAUCCAAUAGCUACAAAUAAGAGGUCUCUUUAAAAUUAUAAUAAUUAUAAUCGUUGGAUGAAAAUCCAAUAAUUCAAGAUCCUUGGUCAAGAGAAUCUUCUCCUUGAGCUCAGGAGAGGAUCUAAUCCCAAAAUAUCUACUUUUAGGUUACUCUUAAUCAUUUUUUUUCCAUAAAAAAACUAACUAAAUUAAAAACUGUUUAGUCAUGGAGCGGUUAUUUGGAGGCUGCAUUUAUACAUUUCAUGACGUGGAAAAACUAUCAAAAAUUGUAAAAGUUCAUAAAUAAAUGCUUAAAGGUUCAUCUCAAGACUAAUAUUUACAGCUCCAUGUGUCUAGCAGGUAGCGAUCUAUUAGUUUUAUAGAGGAUCGACUUAGAUUAAAAGUAACGAACUUUAACGAAAAUAUUCUGGUAUUGUUCAUUUUAACUAAAAACCAUAUUUUACACUAAAAAGUUAAUUAUGAUACUAUUCACUUUACCUUUUAUUUUGUUCUUAUUGUUAAAACUCAAAGUUUUCAAACCAUUUUCAUUAGUUUUCCUUUAAAAGUAUGGCUGUCUUCUUUAAUCUUACUAUUUAUCAUCCAUUUUUUUCUUUAAAAUAUCUUCAAUAUGAUGAAUAGCCUUAUCCAAAUCAAUUCUUUCUAUCAAACGUGUGAUAUCAAUCUUGUUAACUACCUUUUAUUUACAGUAACCUAGCUAUGAAGUUUAAGUUUUAAGCAUAUGUGUGUCUGUGUGUGUAGUGUGUGUAAACGGAUUUGUGACAUCACUUUUUUACACAAUUUUUGAUACACGUUUUUGUAGAGUCUACUCCGUAAUAUAUAUACUCAUUACCUUUAUUAUAACAUGUCAAUUAAUUAAAUAUUGAGUAAUGCUAGAGACACCAAAUUUGUAGACUAAAUUAGCAAACCAAAUGAGGUGCCACCAAUAAAAAAUGAGCACGUUUAUCAACGAUUAAGUAAUAAUCUAAUUAUCAACUUCCAUAUUAUUUCGUUUACAAAAUUUAGUUUACAAAUUGAGUCUCUCUAGCAUUACGUAACAUUGUAAGACCCUAAAAUAUUUCUCCACCUCAAACCAUAUAGACCAUUAUGCAUCAAACUAAUGAAGUGGAACAACUAUGACUGCUAAACUAACUCUCACUAAAACGUUAAUUAAAGCAAGUAAUUGUAGCUAUGUAGUUUUUUUUUUUUGUCAACUAAAGGCAGGGUCCUUUAUUAAUUGAGAAAAUUACAACCCCCUACAACUUUUUUAUAUCUUUUAAACUAAACAUUUGUGUCUUUUUAAAAUUUGAUUAAAGUGUUUUGACCAAUAGACACCUCACAAUUUUCUGUUAAAUUAAAUUACAUAUCAUUAUCGUAUUUUCUUAAAAUAAAAUGUUAAUUAUUAAUUCUAAAUUUAUCCUCUUAAGUUUUUAAUGCGUUUUCCCCUUAUUUAAUGGAGUAUUAGUUAUUAACUCUAUUAUCCCUUUUUCCAAUUAUAAUUUUUCGCUCAAAAUAUUUUUUUUGUUCUUCAAACAUUAAUAUUAUUUAUUUUUGUCAAAUGGUUGGCUAUCCAAUAAAGCACUGUGUAAUUUUUCCCCUUUUUUUUGUCAAACUAUUUUUCUUUGUUUUUUAUUUUUUAUUUUUUAUUUUUACUUAUAGUUGUUGACAAACUAUUAUUAGGUACACCAUAUUAUGUGUAUACUGCCGUUAGGUAUGUUUUAAUUUGUAAAAAACAUUGAUUGGUACGUUUAUUUGCAGUUUUGGUACGUUUGAUUUGGUACAUAUUGUUGAUAUUGAUACAUUACUUUUGAUUUUGGUACGUUUAUAUGUUGUUAGUCCUAUUUUCUCUUAAUGUAUUGAUAUAAAAAAUUAUAUUGGUACAUUUGAUUUCGUGAGAUUUAAAAAUAUUUUCAACCAUUUUGGGAAUAAAAUAUUAAAUCGUAGAUAAUCAUUGCUAAAUUGUAGGAAGUAUUGUGAAAAUAAAUUGUAUUUAACUAGGGUUUUUUUGUUUACAAUUAUCUCCAAAGGGGGAGAAGGUAAUCAAAAUGCUAGAUUAUAGGAAGUUUGGUUCAAUACUGUGCACUUUUUUGGCGUGAGAUUAAGAAAUAUGGAGUAGUGGCAGUUCAUGUAAUUUUGGUAUAAAAAAUGAUUAAUUCUAAUAUAUGUGGCAACAAAAUGAUGAGAAGAAAGUUUAAUCAAAUCUCUAAAAGGCAUAGAUGCUUAGUCUAUAAAAUUCAAAAAUAAGGCACUUAUAUCAAAUCUUCCCUUAUUAAUUACACAACAAAAAUUUACAAACCAAAAAGAACCAGCCCAAAAACAUAGAAAAAGCCCAACCAAAGUUUGAGCCCAAACCAGAAAAAACCAAGAACAACCUAGAUCUCUGCUGCAGCCAUUUCCACACCAGAAAAUCCCGUCCAGCAGCUUGCUUCCAUGCUUUUGACGAAGCAUCCCCACUCCGGUCGCCUCCAUCAGCUGAGAACAGCUCUUCAAUUGCAACCACAAGCUGGAAAAACCAGCCAUGAAGCCUGUGGAGAUCCACAUGCAACCCUGCCAAAGGAAGAGAGAGAAGGUGGUGGUGUAGAUAACACUCAAACCAGUGAGAACACAAAAAUUUGAUACACCGACUCCAUAAAUCGUGACGAAUCGCGAUGAAAAGUGGCUACAUAUGAAAUUGGAAAUGACCCAGAAAAAGGGAUGCCAAAGAACUGUGGAGAACUGACUAGAAAGGGAUUGGUAGGAAAGGGAAAACGCAGCAGAAAAUCACAAAGGAAAAACAUAACGAACAAAGAACAAACUGCCACCGACCCCAGCCAGAGCUAGGAUCGGCGACAACGAAAAAUGACUAAAUUGCAAACACUCACACGAGACGGUAAGAAAGGCUCUCAAGCAGAGAGAUAGGAAAGGAAAGUUUCCCCUUGCUGUUUGGGUCGAGAGAAAGUGACCCUCUCCUUACUUUGUUACAUUGUAGCUAUGUAGUUACGUACAUUAAUUUUUCAGUGUCGUCUGAAUUGUUUGAAUACCAUUCGAUAUUGUCUUCUUAAAUUUUUGAAAAGUAAAAUUUGAGCUAAGACAUAGUGAAAUUGCUGACACUCUUCACGCAGCCAAACUCAGAGAGGAUAAGAGCCGAGACCCGGAGAGAGCACUGAUUAUACUAGAGUUGU
This 36500-nucleotide long non-coding RNA is filed under the name Malus domestica (apple). Its description in RNAcentral is "long non-coding RNA (MDOM_LNC009434)". Lineage: Eukaryota; Viridiplantae; Streptophyta; Magnoliopsida; Rosales; Rosaceae. The record is from RNAcentral.